GAUGAACGCUAGCUAUAGGCUUAACACAUGCAAGUCGAGGGGAAACGAUAGAGAAAGCUUGCUUUUUCUAGGCGUCGACCGGCGCACGAGUGAGUAACGCGUAUCCAACCUGCCCACCACUUGGGGAUAACCUUGCGAAAGUAAGACUAAUACCCAAUGAUAUCUCUAGAAGACAUCUGAAAGAGAUUAAAGAUUUAUCGGUGAUGGAUGGGGAUGCGUCUGAUUAGCUUGUUGGCGGGGUAACGGCCCACCAAGGCGACGAUCAGUAGGGGAUCUGAGAGGAAGGUCCCCCACAUUGGAACUGAGACAAGGUCCAAACUCCUACGGGAGGCAGCAGUGAGGAAUGUUGGUCAAUGGGCGAGAGCCUGAACCAGCCAAGUAGCGUGCAGGAUGACGGCCCUAUGGGUUGUAAACUGCUUUUAUAAGGGAAUAAAGUGAGUCUCGUGAGACUUUUUGCAUGUACCUUAUGAAUAAGGACCGGCUAAUUCCGUGCCAGCCGCCGCGGUAA
RNAcentral lists this ribosomal RNA (508 nucleotides) under uncultured bacterium. Its description in RNAcentral is "partial 16S ribosomal RNA". It matches the Rfam family "Bacterial small subunit ribosomal RNA", at positions 28 to 523 of the family's 1533-position model. The record is from RNAcentral.